This 104-nucleotide signal recognition particle RNA is filed under the name bovine gut metagenome. RNAcentral describes it as "Bacteroidales small SRP". It matches the Rfam family "Bacteroidales small SRP". Rfam says of the family: The non-coding component of the signal recognition particle in Bacteroides The record is from RNAcentral.
AGUCGGGUAAGUCUUAUACAAUCUGCUCCCUUUCAACUCCCCCAGGGCAGGAAUGCAGCAAGGGUACAUUGGUUGUAGCGAUGUGAUGUAAGUAGCUUACCCUC